RNAcentral lists this ribosomal RNA (110 nucleotides) under uncultured eukaryote. Its description in RNAcentral is "partial small subunit ribosomal RNA". The record is from RNAcentral.
UCGCACCUACCGAUUGAAUGGUCCGGUGAAGCCUCGGGAUUGCUGUGAGUUUCCUUUAUUGGGACCUGACCGUGAGAACUUGUCUAAACCUUAUCAUCUAGAGGAAGGUG